RNAcentral lists this ribosomal RNA (2855 nucleotides) under Salmonella enterica subsp. enterica serovar Gallinarum. Its description in RNAcentral is "23S ribosomal RNA". It matches the Rfam family "Bacterial large subunit ribosomal RNA". The record is from RNAcentral. Lineage: Bacteria; Pseudomonadati; Pseudomonadota; Gammaproteobacteria; Enterobacterales; Enterobacteriaceae.
GGUUAAGCGACUAAGCGUACACGGUGGAUGCCACGGCAGUCAGAGGCGAUGAAGGGCGUGCUAAUCUGCGAUAAGCGCCGGUAAGGUGAUAUGAACCGUUAUAACCGGCGAUACCCGAAUGGGGAAACCCAGUGUGAUUCGUCACACUAUCAUUAACUGAAUCCAUAGGUUAAUGAGGCGAACCGGGGGAACUGAAACAUCUAAGUACCCCGAGGAAAAGAAAUCAACCGAGAUUCCCCCAGUAGCGGCGAGCGAACGGGGAGGAGCCCAGAGCCUGAAUCAGCAUGUGUGUUAGUGGAAGCGUCUGGAAAGGCGCGCGAUACAGGGUGACAGCCCCGUACACAAAAGCGCAUGUGCUGUGAGCUCGAUGAGUAGGGCGGGACACGUGGUAUCCUGUCUGAAUAUGGGGGGACCAUCCUCCAAGGCUAAAUACUCCUGACUGACCGAUAGUGAACCAGUACCGUGAGGGAAAGGCGAAAAGAACCCCGGCGAGGGGAGUGAAAAAGAACCUGAAACCGUGUACGUACAAGCAGUGGGAGCACAGGUUUACCUGUGUGACUGCGUACCUUUUGUAUAAUGGGUCAGCGACUUAUAUUCUGUAGCAAGGUUAACCGAAUAGGGGAGCCGGAGGGAAACCGAGUCUUAACCGGGCGUUAAGUUGCAGGGUAUAGACCCGAAACCCGGUGAUCUAGCCAUGGGCAGGUUGAAGGUUGGGUAACACUAACUGGAGGACCGAACCGACUAAUGUUGAAAAAUUAGCGGAUGACCUGUGGCUGGGGGUGAAAGGCCAAUCAAACCGGGAGAUAGCUGGUUCUCCCCGAAAGCUAUUUAGGUAGCGCCUCGUGAAUUCAUCUCCGGGGGUAGAGCACUGUUUCGGCUAGGGGGCCAUCCCGGCUUACCAACCCGAUGCAAACUGCGAAUACCGGAGAAUGUUAUCACGGGAGACACACGGCGGGUGCUAACGUCCGUCGUGAAGAGGGAAACAACCCAGACCGCCAGCUAAGGUCCCAAAGUCAUGGUUAAGUGGGAAACGAUGUGGGAAGGCCCAGACAGCCAGGAUGUUGGCUUAGAAGCAGCCAUCAUUUAAAGAAAGCGUAAUAGCUCACUGGUCGAGUCGGCCUGCGCGGAAGAUGUAACGGGGCUAAACCAUGCACCGAAGCUGCGGCAGCGACGCUGAUGCGUUGUUGGGUAGGGGAGCGUUCUGUAAGCCUGCGAAGGUGGCCUGUGAGGGUUGCUGGAGGUAUCAGAAGUGCGAAUGCUGACAUAAGUAACGAUAAAGCGGGUGAAAAGCCCGCUCGCCGGAAGACCAAGGGUUCCUGUCCAACGUUAAUCGGGGCAGGGUGAGUCGACCCCUAAGGCGAGGCCGAAAGGCGUAGUCGAUGGGAAACGGGUUAAUAUUCCCGUACUUGGUGUUACUGCGAAGGGGGGACGGAGAAGGCUAUGUUGGCCGGGCGACGGUUGUCCCGGUUUAAGCGUGUAGGCUGGUUUUCCGUGCAAAUCCGGAAAAUCAAGGCUGAGGCGUGAUGACGAGGCACUACGGUGCUGAAGCAACAAAUGCCCUGCUUCCCAGAAAAGCCUCUAAGCAUCAGGUAACAUCAAAUCGUACCCCAAACCGACACAGGUGGUCAGGUAGAGAAUACCAAGGCGCUUGAGAGAACUCGGGUGAAGGAACUAGGCAAAAUGGUGCCGUAACUUCGGGAGAAGGCACGCUGACACGUAGGUGAAGUGAUUUACUCAUGGAGCUGAAGUCAGUCGAAGAUACCAGCUGGCUGCAACUGUUUAUUAAAAACACAGCACUGUGCAAACACGAAAGUGGACGUAUACGGUGUGACGCCUGCCCGGUGCCGGAAGGUUAAUUGAUGGGGUCAGAACGGUCCUAAGGUAGCGAAAUUCCUUGUCGGGUAAGUUCCGACCUGCACGAAUGGCGUAAUGAUGGCCGUGCUGUCUCCACCCGAGACUCAGUGAAAUUGAACUCGCUGUGAAGAUGCAGUGUACCCGCGGCAAGACGGAAAGACCCCGUGAACCUUUACUAUAGCUUGACACUGAACAUUGAGCCUUGAUGUGUAGGAUAGGUGGGAGGCUUUGAAGUGUGGACGCCAGUCUGCAUGGAGCCGACCUUGAAAUACCACCCUUUAAUGUUUGAUGUUCUAACGUGGACCCGUUACCCGGGUUGCGGACAGUGUCUGGUGGGUAGUUUGACUGGGGCGGUCUCCUCCUAAAGAGUAACGGAGGAGCACGAAGGUUGGCUAAUCCCGGUCGGACAUCAGGAGGUUAGUGCAAUGGCAUAAGCCAGCUUGACUGCGAGCGUGACGGCGCGAGCAGGUGCGAAAGCAGGUCAUAGUGAUCCGGUGGUUCUGAAUGGAAGGGCCAUCGCUCAACGGAUAAAAGGUACUCCGGGGAUAACAGGCUGAUACCGCCCAAGAGUUCAUAUCGACGGCGGUGUUUGGCACCUCGAUGUCGGCUCAUCACAUCCCGGGGCUGAAGUAGGUCCCAAGGGUAUGGCUGUUCGCCAUUUAAAGUGGUACGCGAGCUGGGUUUAGAACGUCGUGAGACAGUUCGGUCCCUAUCUGCCGUGGGCGCUGGAGAACUGAGGGGGCUGCUCCUAGUACGAGAGGACCGGAGUGGACGCAUCACUGGUGUUCGGGUUGUCAUGCCAAUGGCACUGCCCGGUAGCUAAAUGCGGAAGAGAUAAGUGCUGAAAGCAUCUAAGCACGAAACUUGCCCCGAGAUGAGUUCUCCCUGAGACUUAGAGUCUCCUGAAGGAACGUUGAAGACGACGACGUUGAUAGGCCGGGUGUGUAAGCGCAGCGAUGCGUUGAGCUAACCGGUACUAAUGAACCGUGAGGCUUAACCUU